Molecule: long non-coding RNA, 3134 nt
Organism: Lates calcarifer (barramundi perch)
Lineage: Eukaryota; Metazoa; Chordata; Actinopteri; Centropomidae
Exons: 8
Source: RefSeq, a predicted model, not a curated record
GAAUAAGAAAUAAGAAAUAUCCGUUUUCAGGGUUUUAAAAAAAUUUAGAAUUGUUCCACAUUUUUAUAAAUGAAGGUGGACAAAAAAAAAUAAGACAUGUCUCUCAAUAUAAUACGGUACAACUCAACAGCACCACAAAGAGCAGCCUCCAAAAUCACCAUUAAGUUGACUCAAUACCUCGAAAACAUGAUUUCAACUGAAACGAACACUGUAACCUUCAUAAAGAUUUAUUGCAGAGGUGUUAUUUACCUGCAUUAGUGUCAAUUAAAAAAAAAAACAAAACUAUAUUAUCACAAAUAAUUAUGUGUAAGAGUCUGGCUACCCCUACUGAUUCACAUGUAACCAAAAUCCCUUACAAAUUCUCGGCAGGACUGUCUUUGACCAUUUUACCCAACUUUGACCAGUGUGUAGGAUGGCAUCUAGGUAAGAACGCAGAUUGCAACCAACUGAUUGCCUUGCCCUUUAUUUCCAAGAGGGUUGAAAGUCUACGCUUGGAAAGUCAGGUGUCAACCCGUCACCCUAUAACAGUCGCCGUAUCGUUAGAUAUUGUAUUUAGUCUGCAAAACUACAGGUGAAUGUUGACAUGUAACAAACUAUAACGAUAUGAGGCGUCAGCGUAAAAACACGAAAGGCUCUAUAUAUAGAGCCACUCGGAUUGUCUGUUCUGGGCUACUGUAGAAACAUGACGGCGCUACACGACUCUGUGGAAGAGGACCCCCUUCCUAUGCAAUUUUAAAUGGCUCGUUCGAAUGAAAGCUGAUUCAUUGUAGGUGCACUCACCAUGUUGACGAGAGGGUAAGUGGCUCCGACAAAUUUGAGCACCUCUCAACAACGAUCGAAAUGAUUGGUUCAACUCCCUGCUGAUGCACAGAGGUCAAAGAACAAUACAGUAUAUUUAACCACUGAGCCAUCUCCACAAGAAAUGAGCAUCAUGAGUAUUGAUAAUUGCAUCUGCAGUGGAAGACCAUGAGCUGCAAAAAGCCAAUGUUGUAACAGGUGCCCAUUCAGAGGCUGGAGUAGCUGGUGUUCAGGCACAGCAAAUUACCUUGGUGUAUUGGGGAUCAUUUGGAGAACUGGCUGUGAUUUUCCAAUUAUUGGCUUCUGUGACACAGCUCUCUUGGCUGCAUGUGGCUGGAAUGAUUCCCAAUGACAGUGGGAAAUUAGAAAGUGGUCAGUCUACACACUUCUAACCUCUUUAAGUGCCAUUCACAUGGUAUAAUGUCUGUCACGUCAGGAAGAAAGUGUCUAUGACUGAUGAAAGAACGGACAGACCUGUGAUAUCAGAGCCUCUGAAAAACAGCACAAAAGGAUUGCUCCAGUGUGUGAAGUCAACAGGAUUGCACCAGCUGAACUCCUUUACAGAAUAACAGUGUCUUGGGACAUCAUCAGUACAGCAGCCACAAGGGAGAGAUGGCAGGAGCACAGAAAGACCAUCUAUUCACCUCCAUCACAAACUAUACACAGUCUGGAAACAGAAAUUCUGAUCUGCUGCAUUUCUACAUUCACCUCCAUCGCAGAAGCUUGUUAGGGUCUGGUAUGUUUGUUUGUGAGUUAGUUAGCAUGAUAUCUCUCUAAGAGAAGCAACAAAGCUGCUGACCCAGGGUCCCCUACUUUGUCAUGGCUCCAUCCUGAGGGUCCUACUCGUUGACCACUGCUGAGAGAGUCUCUAUGUCAUCACUGCCACACCAACCCCCAUACACCAAGACCAUAUGUCUGCUCCAGUCUCAGCAUCACCAGUAAAUGGAGCUUUACGUCUUUCUAUAUGUCCUCUGCACUGCCUUGAAGGUACUGACCUGGCGCUUACAAGCUCUCUAUACGCCAAGUGUGUAUCAGCACACUUGCCUUCCUUAGACUGUCAGCUGAGGCUUCACCAUAAUAAAUUUGUGUUGGUUUAUAUUUAUAAUAUACUCCCCCAAUGCCAUACAUGCAUUUGCCACUAGUUGAGAAUAGUGAAGGACGACCUUACAGUGCAGCAUGUAUUUCAAUUUUGCAGACCUGUGUGAUAUGGUGUUUAUACUUUUUGCACCACUGAUGAUUUAAUACAUCUCACAGAGGAUGAUAGAUGUAUGGUCUAAAUCUAUCAAGCCAUGUCAUGCAUCACUUGCAUGUAAUUUAUAAUUUGUCAUCUGUAUGUUUUUGAGUGCUUCUGAAGAAACAACAAAAUAAAUCUCUAUGCUCACACACUCUGUCAUGUAAAGUAAUAUCUUUAAUAGCACAGAUUUGUUUGGUAGUUGUUUUUAAUGCAGUCACCUUUAUUUACUCAACGUUGGCUGAAAAUGCAAUCAUUUACAAUGUAGUCAUUUAACAUGAGUCUGUUGAAGUACUGAUUGAAAUUUCACAUCUUACCAGUGACUGUUGUAUUAUUAUUUGAGUGGCAGCUGCAUCUUGUUAGAGUCACUUAUUAAAUCUGCAAGCCCACUCACAAGUCCACUAACACGAUCAUUUCCAUAAUAAGAAUCUUUGAAGGAUGUGAUGCCUAUUAUCGCUAGACCUGAACAUGGAAGUAAAGGUCAGGAGCUGGAGACAUUAAUUCAGUUAUAAAGAACUGAAAAAGGAAAGAACAGUCCUUUGAGCAGUGAUUUGUUGUCUCUGCAUGUGAUGCUUUGACCGGGGAGACACAGGCCACAGCUGGAUAUUUAUCAACCAGCGCUCAGAUUCCAUUCCAGUGUCCUAGCUAUUCAAUCAUGAGUCUCAGAGUGUCAGGUUCCCUCUGUCAAAUCUGUCUAAUCUGCCUGUAAUCAGAGUCUGCAUUCAAAGGCUAAUAUAACAUGACAGUCUUCAAACCCAUGCAGUAUGCCCCCCACCCUCCACAUCAGUAUACUGCUCACAGCUAUCUAUGACAUCUCCAUAAAGAAAUGUAUUGAUUAUGUCUUUGUGGACUGCAUAAUACAUGGACAGAGAUUUUCUAUAGGUCUGGAUUUGUGAAGUUAUUCCCCUAUGAAUUUUCUUUCAAGGACCAAAAGUUAUGUAUUUCUGUUUUUUAAAUGUAUGUGUGGAGCAUGUUAUAUCAAUCUCAAAAUCCAUAAGCUGGUCUUUUCUCUUUUUCUAUGUAUAUGAAUUGACUAUUUUUUAUUGAUUGCAGUUUAAACCAUUUUUAUUCUGUUGAUAUUGUUUUCCAUUCAGUGACCAUUAAA